Molecule: unclassified non-coding RNA, 303 nt
Organism: Fukomys damarensis (Damara mole-rat)
Lineage: Eukaryota; Metazoa; Chordata; Mammalia; Rodentia; Bathyergidae
Gene: 7SK
Rfam family: 7SK RNA
About the family: 7SK was discovered as an abundant small nuclear RNA in the mid-70s but a possible function has only recently been suggested.
Source: Ensembl
GGAUGUGAGGGCGAUCUGGCUGCGACAUCUGUUACCCCACUGAUCGCCAGGGUUGAUUCGGCUGAUCUGUCUGGCUAGGCGGGUGUCCAGUUCCUCACCGCUCCAUCUGCGUCCCUCCGGAAGCUGCGCGCUAGGUGGAAGAGGACGACCACCCCUGAUAGAGGAGGUCCGUUUCCUCCGUCAAGGGUAUACGAGAAGCUGCACUCCCCUGCUAGAACCUUCAAACAAGCUCUCAAAUGUUGGAAGCUAGACAGAAAUUUUAAAAAUGAUUUCCCUAUAAAAUGUUAAAAAUUAUUUAAAAUU